This is a long non-coding RNA of Acipenser ruthenus (sterlet), 185 nucleotides long. RefSeq lists it as uncharacterized. The transcript is spliced from 3 exons. The record is from RefSeq and is a predicted model, not a curated record. NCBI's taxonomy places the organism in Eukaryota, Metazoa, Chordata, Actinopteri, Acipenseriformes, Acipenseridae.
AGACAACUUGGGAGGGGAUGAGAACUGUGUGAUGAUGAGUAAGACUGGUGGAUGGACUGACACUGGCUGCAACUCUCAGAAGUCCUUCUUCUGCUGUGAGGAUUCAGACCCCACAAGCCCCCCUUCCACUCCGGUCUCUCAAGAAGGAGAAUCCUCGAGCCCCCCUUCCACUCCGCUCUCUCAAG